UGGUGGAAUGAUUUGUCUGGUUAAUUCCGUUAGCAAACGAGACCUCAGCCUGCUAAAUAGAGUGUACAUUCGAAAGAAUGUAUUCGACUUCUUAGAGGGACAUUUCGGUUUUACCGGAAGGAAGUUUGAGGCAAUAACA
This 139-nucleotide ribosomal RNA is filed under the name uncultured eukaryote. Its description in RNAcentral is "partial 18S ribosomal RNA". It matches the Rfam family "Eukaryotic small subunit ribosomal RNA", at positions 1299 to 1458 of the family's 1831-position model. The record is from RNAcentral.